AGUGAACGCUGGCGGUAGGCCUAACACAUGCAAGUCGAACGGCAGCACAGUAAGAGCUUGCUCUUACGGGUGGCGAGUGGCGGACGGGUGAGGAAUACAUCGGAAUCUACUUUUUCGUGGGGGAUAACGUAGGGAAACUUACGCUAAUACCGCAUACGACCUACGGGUGAAAGCAGGGGAUCUUCGGACCUUGCGCGAUUGAAUGAGCCGAUGUCGGAUUAGCUAGUUGGCGGGGUAAAGGCCCACCAAGGCGACGAUCCGUGGCUGGUCUGAGAGGAUGAUCAGCCACACUGGAACUGAGACACGGUCCAGACUCCUACGGGAGGCAGCAGUGGGGAAUAUUGGACAAUGGGCGCAAGCCUGAUCCAGCCAUACCGCGUGGGUGAAGAAGGCCUUCGGGUUGUAAAACCCUUUUGUUGGGAAAGAAAAGCAGCAGGUUAAUACCCCGCUGUUCUGACGGUACCCAAAGAAUAAGCACCGGCUAACUUCGUG
This 492-nucleotide ribosomal RNA is filed under the name uncultured bacterium. RNAcentral's name for it is "partial 16S ribosomal RNA". It matches the Rfam family "Bacterial small subunit ribosomal RNA", at positions 29 to 507 of the family's 1533-position model. The record is from RNAcentral.